UACGUAGGUCCCGAGCGUUGUCCGGAUUUAUUGGGCGUAAAGCGAGCGCAGGUGGUUUAUUAAGUCUGGUGUAAAAGGCAGUGGCUCAACCAUUGUAUGCAUUGGAAACUGGUAGACUUGAGUGCAGGAGAGGAGAGUGGAAUUCCAUGUGUAGCGGUAAAAUGCGUAGAUAUAUGGAGGAACACCGGUGGCGAAAGCGGCUCUCUGGCCUGUAACUGACACUGAGGCUCGAAAGCGUGGAGAGCAAACAGG
This 252-nucleotide ribosomal RNA is filed under the name uncultured bacterium. Its description in RNAcentral is "partial 16S ribosomal RNA". It matches the Rfam family "Bacterial small subunit ribosomal RNA", at positions 524 to 776 of the family's 1533-position model. The record is from RNAcentral.